This 253-nucleotide ribosomal RNA is filed under the name uncultured bacterium. Its description in RNAcentral is "partial 16S ribosomal RNA". It matches the Rfam family "Bacterial small subunit ribosomal RNA", at positions 524 to 776 of the family's 1533-position model. The record is from RNAcentral.
UACGUAGGGCGCAAGCGUUGUCCGGAAUUAUUGGGCGUAAAGAGCUCGUAGGCGGUUUGUCGCGUCUGCUGUGAAAACCUAAGGCUCAACCUUGGGCUUGCAGUGGGUACGGGCAGACUAGAGUGCGGUAGGGGUGACUGGAAUUCCUGGUGUAGCGGUGGAAUGCGCAGAUAUCAGGAGGAACACCGAUGGCGAAGGCAGGUCACUGGGCCGCAACUGACGCUGAGGAGCGAAAGCAUGAGGAGCGAACAGG